RNAcentral lists this long non-coding RNA (552 nucleotides) under Olea europaea subsp. europaea. The record is from RNAcentral. Lineage: Eukaryota; Viridiplantae; Streptophyta; Magnoliopsida; Lamiales; Oleaceae.
CCCCUUUUUAAAAAGUAGAUGCUUCUCUUUUUAUUCUGAUUGGCCUUCUCGGCUUUUACUCUCUGCAGUGCUUCCACUUGAUUCGUCUUCUUUUGUCUGCAAUAUUCCUUUUGAUUUUUCAUUGUCCUCCAUCAUUUUACACCAUUGACAAUCAUGAUAUUUUCCAAGACUUUGUUUUACUGCCUUGCAUAAUUGUCCUUCAUAAUUUUUCGAGACAUUCAAUAAAUUAUAAAAAUUCUUUUCAAAGUUGCACAGUGCUUUGAUUCCUUCAAUCUUGAUCAUUGAACCUGUCUUACUAGUAACCAAGACAAAAUUUGAUGAGUAAUUUAUAUUGAUUUUUGAUUCUUUAUUGAAGGCUCUUAAUCCGGUUAGGAUCCUUUGGUAAGAUAGGCUUUUCCAGUCAUCCAUUUUUUCUUCAUUGACACAUUCAAUCUGUCCUUCUAUUGGUUUAUUCAGAAUAACUUCUGGAGUAGUUCCUUUAACCAAGAGUCCUUCUUCAUUCCAAAAAUGGAAUUGUACUAUUGAUUUUUAACAUCACCUGUAAUUCUUGAU